Molecule: small nuclear RNA, 107 nt
Filed under: Propithecus coquereli (Coquerel's sifaka)
Lineage: Eukaryota; Metazoa; Chordata; Mammalia; Primates; Indriidae
Source: RNAcentral
GUGCUCGCUUCAGCAGCACACAUAUUAAAAUCGGAAUGAUACAGAGAAGAUUAGCAUGGCCCCUGCGUAAGGAUGACACACAAAUUCGUGAAGCGUUCCAUAAAAAA